This 253-nucleotide ribosomal RNA is filed under the name uncultured bacterium. RNAcentral's name for it is "partial 16S ribosomal RNA". It matches the Rfam family "Bacterial small subunit ribosomal RNA", at positions 524 to 776 of the family's 1533-position model. The record is from RNAcentral.
UACGGAGGGGGCAAGCGUUGUUCGGAAUUACUGGGCGUAAAGGGCUGGUAGGCGGCCAACUAAGUCGGAUGUGAAAUCCCCAGGCUUAACCUGGGAACUGCAUCCGAUACUGGUCGGCUUGAAUCCGGGAGAGGGAUGCGGAAUUCCAGGUGUAGCGGUGAAAUGCGUAGAUAUCUGGAGGAACACCGGUGGCGAAGGCGGCAUCCUGGACCAAUUCUGACGCUGAGGAGCGAAAGCCAGGGGAGCAAACGGG